GUAAUAACUUUGGCAGCACAAAAAUUAAAAUUGGAAUGAUACAGAAAAAAUUAGAAUGACACCUGUGCAAGGAUGACAUGCAAAUUUGUGAAGUGUUCCAUAUUUUG
Suncus etruscus (white-toothed pygmy shrew) is the source of this 107-nucleotide small nuclear RNA. The record is from RefSeq and is a predicted model, not a curated record. Lineage: Eukaryota; Metazoa; Chordata; Mammalia; Eulipotyphla; Soricidae.